GCGUCUUGCCCUUCCUGGGCGUUUCCUCCCUAUAGACUUUCAAACCGCGCCCCCGGGCGCGGUUUUUUUUGCCUGAA
RNAcentral lists this small RNA (77 nucleotides) under Brevundimonas abyssalis TAR-001. Its description in RNAcentral is "Makes More Granules Regulator RNA (mmgR)". It matches the Rfam family "Makes More Granules Regulator RNA (mmgR)". From Rfam's summary of the family: SuhB later renamed mmgR (makes more granules regulator) was a putative non-coding RNA found multiple times in the Agrobacterium tumefaciens genome and related alpha-proteobacteria. Other non-coding RNAs uncovered in the same analysis include: speF, ybhL, metA, and serC. Several studies inSinorhizobium meliloti showed that suhB element is indeed a non-coding RNA:firstly it was detected on Northern blot and called Sm8RNA, secondly in an RNAseq study referred to as SmelC689. Lineage: Bacteria; Pseudomonadati; Pseudomonadota; Alphaproteobacteria; Caulobacterales; Caulobacteraceae. The record is from Rfam by way of RNAcentral.